This 304-nucleotide ribosomal RNA is filed under the name uncultured bacterium. RNAcentral describes it as "partial 16S ribosomal RNA". It matches the Rfam family "Bacterial small subunit ribosomal RNA", at positions 506 to 807 of the family's 1533-position model. The record is from RNAcentral.
CAGCAGCAGCCGCGGUAAUACGUAGGGUGCAAGCGUUAAUCGGAAUUACUGGGCGUAAAGCGUGCGCAGGCGGUUUUGUAAGACAGAGGUGAAAUCCCCGGGCUCAACCUGGGAACUGCCUUUGUGACUGCAAGGCUAGAGUACGGCAGAGGGGGAUGGAAUUCCGCGUGUAGCAGUGAAAUGCGUAGAUAUGCGGAGGAACACCGAUGGCGAAGGCAAUCCCCUGGGCCUGUACUGACGCUCAUGCACGAAAGCGUGGGGAGCAAACAGGAUUAGAUACCCCCGUAGUCCCUGUCUCUUAUAC